This 93-nucleotide transfer RNA is filed under the name Borreliella afzelii ACA-1. RNAcentral's name for it is "tRNA-Ser". It matches the Rfam family "tRNA". Rfam says of the family: Transfer RNA (tRNA) molecules are approximately 80 nucleotides in length. Their secondary structure includes four short double-helical elements and three loops (D, anti-codon, and T loops). Further hydrogen bonds mediate the characteristic L-shaped molecular structure. tRNAs have two regions of fundamental functional importance: the anti-codon, which is responsible for specific mRNA codon recognition, and the 3' end, to which the tRNAs corresponding amino acid is attached (by aminoacyl-tRNA synthetases). tRNAs cope with the degeneracy of the genetic code in two manners: having more than one tRNA (with a specific anti-codon) for a particular amino acid; and 'wobble' base-pairing, i.e. permitting non-standard base-pairing at the 3rd anti-codon position. RNAcentral also lists the same sequence under 1 other name. Lineage: Bacteria; Pseudomonadati; Spirochaetota; Spirochaetia; Spirochaetales; Borreliaceae. The record is from RNAcentral.
GGAGAGAUGCCAGAGUGGCCGAAUGGGGCUUCCUGCUAAGAAGUUGUCCUUUUAAAAAGGGGACCAUGGGUUCGAAUCCCAUUCUCUCCGUAA